AGCGAACGCUGGCGGCAGGCUUAACACAUGCAAGUCGAGCGGGCACUUUCGGGUGUCAGCGGCGGACGGGUGAGUAACGCGUGGGAACGUGCCCUCUGGUUCGGAAUAACUCAGGGAAACUUGAGCUAAUACCGGAUACGCCCUUUUGGGGAAAGGCUUGCUGCCGGAGGAUCGGCCCGCGUCUGAUUAGCUAGUUGGUGAGGUAACGGCCCACCAAGGCGACGAUCAGUAGCUGGUCUGAGAGGAUGAUCAGCCACACUGGGACUGAGACACGGCCCAGACUCCGACGGGAGGCAGCAGUGGGGAAUAUUAGACGAUGAGCGCAAGCCUGAACCAGCCGUGCCGCGUGAGUGAUGAAGGCCUUAGGGUUGUAAAGCUCUUUUAUCCGGGACGAUAAUGACGGUACCGGAGGAAUAAGCCCCGGCUAACUUCGUG
RNAcentral lists this ribosomal RNA (435 nucleotides) under uncultured bacterium. RNAcentral's name for it is "partial 16S ribosomal RNA". It matches the Rfam family "Bacterial small subunit ribosomal RNA", at positions 29 to 507 of the family's 1533-position model. The record is from RNAcentral.